Molecule: long non-coding RNA, 495 nt
Organism: Dendroctonus ponderosae (mountain pine beetle)
Lineage: Eukaryota; Metazoa; Arthropoda; Insecta; Coleoptera; Curculionidae
Exons: 2
Source: RefSeq, a predicted model, not a curated record
CUAUGUCAGUGCAGAAGCAGAACUUUGUGCGGUUUUCUGCUACACGGUAAUUAGUGUAGCUAUGUCACUAGACCACCAGACUCUAAGGUCAUUCUCCGGAGACAUGUCAGCCAUAGUUUUUGCCAAUUCCAAAUUUACCUUAAGAGCCAAAUCCACAGCCGAUUCCCACAGGUUUAGUAAAGCGUAAAGUUUUACACAGGCUUCAUUUUGCUGUUGCUCCGCACAGAGUCGUAAAGCGAAAUAUACGUCGUAAUUGAUCUAAAUAUUUGAUCAAAUUAAUAUUUAAAAAAUGCACCACAAUAUAUGAAAAGCAAUUAAUGUGCUGACAUUUCAAAAAAUUAAUUAAAAUACUCUGACUGGAGAGAAUAAAACUAUAAAUACUAAAAACGUAUUUCUUACCAAGCUCACUUCUUGACCCUGUGAAUUGAGGUAUUCCAUAAGUUUCUUUGAGUCGUAUUUAGCAUAUAAUGAGACUAAUAAAUUGUGUAUAGCCUU